UACGUAGGGUGCGAGCGUUAAUCGGAAUUACUGGGCGUAAAGGGCUCGUAGGCGGCCAACUAAGUCAGACGUGAAAUCCCUCGGCUUAACCGGGGAACUGCAUCUGAUACUGGAUGGCUUGAGAUUGGGAGAGGGAUGCGGAAUUCCAGGUGUAGCGGUGAAAUGCGUAGAUAUCUGGAGGAACACCGGUGGCGAAGGCGGCAUUCUGGACCGAAACUGACGCUGAGGCGCGAAAGCCAGGGGAGCAAACGGG
This 253-nucleotide ribosomal RNA is filed under the name uncultured bacterium. RNAcentral describes it as "partial 16S ribosomal RNA". It matches the Rfam family "Bacterial small subunit ribosomal RNA", at positions 524 to 776 of the family's 1533-position model. The record is from RNAcentral.